UUGUGAAGGAAAGAGAGACUCAGCUCGAGAAUGAGCACGUGUUAAACGUUUUUCACAUUCUCCUUAUGCUCAGUCCAUCAUCACCUAAUAUCAUCCUCCUCCACCGCGUCGGGGCUCACCACUGGUGGUGGUGGAACAUCAAACAUCAAAACCAGAUACACCAAUUCAAUCCAUUUUUCAUGCGCUAAUAGAAUCCCACACUGAGUUCAUCUGAAACCUCCUAAGUUUUCCAAAUCGUGCCAAACCUCUUAUGAAACCUAACCAUGAAACUAAAAAUUAAAUGAUUGAAUGAAGGAAUCAAAGUCCCUAAGGUUAGAGAUUUGAUUCCUCCACCCCUAUGAUACAUGGUGGUAACAAGAAUGAAGCCAAAUGGUGAAGAAAAUGCACCUACCUUCCGGAGAAGAAGGCUGCUUAGAUCGGAUCAAAUGGAGAUAUAUGAACAAGUUCAGGUACGAAUCUUCGAUAUAAAUUCCUCCUUCUGCUACUCUAAUUCCUCUUCUUCUUAGCUUUGACUCUUCUUCUUCUUGCGUGCCUUGAGUUCCUUCUCCUUCCGUGUGCUCUGAGAGUGGAAGAGUGGAGUGUAGAGUGUGCGAUUGAGAGAAAGUUGAGGUGUAAGAUUUAGGGAGAAUUGAGAUUGAAAGAGAAUGCAUGAUUUUUGUUUUUUGAGCGAAUGAAAGGGUGAUAGAAAAUUGAAGGGUGAUGAACUAUUUAUAGGAGAGAGAUAGAUUUAACAAAUCAAACUCUAUAAAUUAUCAAAGUGGAAAGUUAGUUAGAGGUUCUAACUCUGUUAAUCAUUGAUAGUCAUGAUUUUCAGUUAGGGAUCAUUUUUCUGUUACACUCAAUUUUCUGCAGUUAAAUCACAAUGUUUUAUGUUAGUUGUAUUAGGUGUUAGUUAUUGUUAGUUAGUGAAUCAAAUAAGGAUUGGCUAUUGCAGGUGAUUUGUAUCAAAGUUAUGUGGAAUUGUGUUGAUGAUCUGCUGAACAUGUUGCAGGUUAUGUUUCAAUGUGUCUUGUUUGGAAAAUUGCAGGUUUUGCAAGUGACUGGUUGUGGUUUUGACUCAGUUGUAAUUUGUUAUUGUUAGAACUUAAGUUAAGUUAGGUCAGGUGGUGAUUGAUUAUAGUUCAACUGACUGCAACCGGUUUUGGUGUAAGGCAUGGCUUGUUUGGAAACUGCAAGUUGUAGGUGACCUGUUGGACUUGGUGAAAUCAGGCAUGGCAAGAAGCAAUAUUUGGUGCAAAAGUGAGGUUUUCUUGCUCAUGAAGAAAUUGAUCAUGGAAUCACAUGGAAGGAUGCAAUAGUGAAGAUUCAAUAUACAUUAGGGUUUAGGAGAUAAAAAAAUAGGUUUGUUGACUUUGGUGAACUGGUUGACCAAAAGUCAACUUUUGGCAAACAAUGUAUUUUUUUUUGUAUUUCUUUUGUAUGGACAAUGUAAAAUUACACUUGAAUGUAUGAAAAAGAUUUUUGAAUAGAAA
Molecule: long non-coding RNA, 1472 nt
Organism: Lathyrus oleraceus (garden pea)
Lineage: Eukaryota; Viridiplantae; Streptophyta; Magnoliopsida; Fabales; Fabaceae
Exons: 2
Source: RefSeq, a predicted model, not a curated record